CGAGUGAAGCGGCAAAAGCUCAAAUUUGAAAUCCCCCCGGGGAGUUGUAAUUUGAAGAUUGCGUCUUGGAGGCGACCGUGUCUAUGUUCCUUGGAACAGGACGUCACAGAGGGUGAGAAUCCCGUGCGGCACGGCCCCCGGCUCCUUAUAAGGCGCUCUCGACGAGUCGAGUUGUUUGGGAAUGCAGCUCAAAGUGGGUGGUAAAUUCCAUCUAAAGCUAAAUACAGGCGAGAGACCGAUAGCGAACAAGUACAGUGAUGGAAAGAUGAAAAGCACUUUGAAAAGAGAGUGAAACAGCACGUGAAAUUGUUGAAAGGGAAGGGCAUGCCGUCAGAUUGUCAGUGUGGGUAAGAAGCGGGGUACAAAGACUGUGGAACGUGGCCCUCGGGUGUUAUAGCCGCAGUUCAUGCCCCGUCUCUUUCCGAGGCCUGCUUUGAGGACACCGACGUAAUGACGGUACGCCGCCCGUCUUGA
Molecule: ribosomal RNA, 474 nt
Filed under: Kodamaea ohmeri
Lineage: Eukaryota; Fungi; Ascomycota; Pichiomycetes; Serinales; Debaryomycetaceae
Description: partial large subunit ribosomal RNA
Rfam family: Eukaryotic large subunit ribosomal RNA
Source: RNAcentral